RNAcentral lists this ribosomal RNA (253 nucleotides) under uncultured bacterium. RNAcentral describes it as "partial 16S ribosomal RNA". It matches the Rfam family "Bacterial small subunit ribosomal RNA", at positions 524 to 776 of the family's 1533-position model. The record is from RNAcentral.
UACAGAGGGUGCGAGCGUUAAUCGGAAUUAUUGGGCGUAAAGGGCAUGUAGGUGGAUUUGCAAGUUUGAUGUGAAAGCCCCGGGCUUAACCUGGGAAUUGCGUUGGAAACUGCAAGACUAGAGUCGGACAGAGGGCAGUGGAAUUUCCGGUGUAGCGGUGAAAUGCGUAGAGAUCGGAAAGAACACCAGUGGCGAAGGCGUCUGCCUGGGUCCAGACUGACACUGAGGUGCGAAAGCGUGGGGAGCAAACAGG